Molecule: ribosomal RNA, 227 nt
Filed under: uncultured bacterium
Lineage: Bacteria
Description: partial 16S ribosomal RNA
Rfam family: Bacterial small subunit ribosomal RNA
Source: RNAcentral
UGAGUAACACGUAUCCAACCUGCCGUCUACUCUUGGACAGCCUUCUGAAAGGAAGAUUAAUACAAGAUGGCAUCAUGAGUCCGCAUGUUCACAUGAUUAAAGGUAUUCCGGUAGACGAUGGGGAUGCGUUCCAUUAGAUAGUAGGCGGGGUAACGGCCCACCCAGUCUUCGAUGGAUAGGGGUUCUGAGAGGAAGGUCCCCCACAUUGGAACUGAGACACGGUCCAA